This 117-nucleotide ribosomal RNA is filed under the name Ignavibacteriaceae bacterium. The record is from RNAcentral. Lineage: Bacteria; Pseudomonadati; Ignavibacteriota; Ignavibacteria; Ignavibacteriales; Ignavibacteriaceae.
UUUGGUGACUAUAGCCUGGGUGAUACACCUCUUCCCAUUCCGAACAGAGAAGUUAAGACCCAGUACGCCGAUGGUACUGCAUGCGCAGGUGUGUGGGAGAGUAGGUAGUCGCCAAUU